Molecule: ribosomal RNA, 492 nt
Filed under: uncultured bacterium
Lineage: Bacteria
Description: bacterial SSU rRNA
Rfam family: Bacterial small subunit ribosomal RNA
Source: RNAcentral
UGGGGAAUCUUGGACAAUGGGCGCAAGCCUGAUCCAGCCAUGCCGCGUGAGCGAUGAAGGCCUUAGGGUUGUAAAGCUCUUUCACCGGUGAAGAUAAUGACGGUAGCCGGAGAAGAAGCCCCGGCUAACUCCGUGCCAGCAGCCGCGGUAAUACGGAGGGGGCUAGCGUUGUUCGGAAUUACUGGGCGUAAAGCGCGCGUAGGCGGACUGAUCAGUCAGGGGUGAAAUCCCGGGGCUCAACCCCGGAACUGCCUUUGAUACUGUCAGUCUUGAGUCCGGAAGAGGCGAGUGGAAUACCGAGUGUAGAGGUGAAAAUUCGUAGAUAUUCGGUGGAACACCAGUGGCGAAGGCGACUCGCUGGUCCGGUACUGACGCUGAGGUGCGAAAAGCGUGGGGAGCAAACAGGAUUAGAUACCCUGGUAGUCCACGCCGUAAAACGAUGAGUGCUAGUCGUUGGGGGGCGUAGCCCUUCAGUGACGCCGCUAACGCAUU